Molecule: ribosomal RNA, 253 nt
Filed under: uncultured bacterium
Lineage: Bacteria
Description: partial 16S ribosomal RNA
Rfam family: Bacterial small subunit ribosomal RNA
Source: RNAcentral
UACGUAGGGGGCAAGCGUUGUCCGGAUUUAUUGGGCGUAAAGAGCGUGUAGGCGGCUUGACAAGUCUGCUGUGAAAACUCGAGGCUCAACCUCGAGCUGUCGGUGGAAACCAUCUGGCUAGAGUCCGGAAGAGGAGAAUGGAAUUCCCGGUGUAGCGGUGAAAUGCGCAGAUAUCGGGAAGAACACCCGUGGCGAAGGCGGUUCUCUGGGACGGUACUGACGCUGAGACGCGAAAGCGUGGGGAGCGAACAGG